This 72-nucleotide transfer RNA is filed under the name Stegodyphus mimosarum. It matches the Rfam family "tRNA". From Rfam's summary of the family: Transfer RNA (tRNA) molecules are approximately 80 nucleotides in length. Their secondary structure includes four short double-helical elements and three loops (D, anti-codon, and T loops). Lineage: Eukaryota; Metazoa; Arthropoda; Arachnida; Araneae; Eresidae. The record is from Rfam by way of RNAcentral.
GCCUUAGUGGUGUAACGGUUAGCACACUCUGCGCGUAUUCGAGAGGUCCAGGUUCGAGUCCUGACGAGGGCA